GACGAACGCUGGCGGCGUGCCUAAUACAUGCAAGUCGAACGAGAGCGGCCGGUGCUUGCACUGGUCAAUCUAGUGGCGAACGGGUGAGUAACACGUGGGUAACCUGCCCAUCAGAGGGGGAUAACAUUCGGAAACGGAUGCUAAAACCGCAUAGGUUCUACAGUCGCAUGACUGAAGAAGGAAAAGAGGCUUCGGCUUCUGCUGAUGGAUGGACCCGCGGUGCAUUAGCUAGUUGGUGAGGUAACGGCUCACCAAGGCCGUGAUGCAUAGCCGACCUGAGAGGGUGAUCGGCCACAUUGGGACUGAGACACGGCCCAAACUCCUACGGGAGGCAGCAGUAGGGAAUCUUCCGCAAUGGACGCAAGUCUGACGGAGCAACGCCGCGUGAGUGAAGAAGGAUUUCGGUUCGUAAAACUCUGUUGUUAGAGAAGAACAGCGCAUAGAGUAACUGUUAUGCGUAUGACGGUAUCUAACCAGAAAGCCACGGCUAACUACGUGCCAGCAGCCGCGGUAAUACGUAGGUGGCAAGCGUUGUCCGGAUUUAUUGGGCGUAAAGCGAGCGCAGGCGGUCAAUUAAGUCUGAUGUGAAAGCCCCCGGCUCAACCGGGGAGGGUCAUUGGAAACUGGUUGACUUGAGUGCAGAAGAGGAGAGUGGAAUUCCAUGUGUAGCGGUGAAAUGCGUAGAUAUAUGGAGGAACACCAGUGGCGAAGGCGACUCUCUGGUCUGUAACUGACGCUGAGGCUCGAAAGCGUGGGUAGCAAACAGG
This 767-nucleotide ribosomal RNA is filed under the name uncultured Granulicatella sp. Its description in RNAcentral is "bacterial SSU rRNA". It matches the Rfam family "Bacterial small subunit ribosomal RNA", at positions 28 to 776 of the family's 1533-position model. The record is from RNAcentral. Lineage: Bacteria; Bacillati; Bacillota; Bacilli; Lactobacillales; Carnobacteriaceae.